RNAcentral lists this transfer RNA (71 nucleotides) under Candidatus Pacearchaeota archaeon. Its description in RNAcentral is "tRNA-Ala". It matches the Rfam family "tRNA". Rfam says of the family: Transfer RNA (tRNA) molecules are approximately 80 nucleotides in length. Their secondary structure includes four short double-helical elements and three loops (D, anti-codon, and T loops). The record is from RNAcentral. Lineage: Archaea; Nanobdellati.
GGGCCGAUAGUUCAGCGGUAGAAUUCCUCCUUCGCAAGGAAGAGAUCCGAGUUCAAUUCUCGGUCGGUCCA